GAGUUUGAUCCUGGCUCAGAAUGAACGCUGGCGGCGUGCCUUACACAUGCAAGUCGAGCGAGGCGGCCCGCAAGGGUCAGUCGAGCGGCGGACGGGUGAGUAACGCGUGGAUAACCUACCCAGAGGUGGGGGAUAACCCGGGGAAACUCGGGCUAAUACCGCAUGAUACCGAGAGGUCAAAGGGGGCUCGCAAGAGCUCUCGCCAUUGGAGGGGUCCGCGUCCGAUUAGCUAGUUGGUAGGGUAAUGGCCUACCAAGGCGACGAUCGGUAGCCGGCCUGAGAGGGUGAUCGGCCACACUGGAACUGAAACACGGGCCAGACUCCUACGGGAGGCAGCAGUGGGGAAUCUUGCACAAUGGGGGAAACCCUGAUGCAGCGACGCCGCGUGAGCGAUGAAGCCCUUCGGGGUGUAAAGCUCUUUCGGCAGGGAAGAUUGUGACGGUACCUGCAGAAGCAGCUGCGGCUAACUACGUGCCAGCAGCCGCGGUAAUACGUAGGCAGCGAGCGUUGUUCGGAGUUACUGGGCGUAAAGGGUGUGUAGGCGGUUGUUUAAGUUUGGUGUGAAAUCUCCCGGCUCAACCGGGAGGGUGCGCCGAAUACUGAAUGACUAGAGUGUGGGAGAGGUGAGUGGAAUUCCUGGUGUAGCGGUGAAAUGCGUAGAUAUCAGGAGGAACACCGGUGGUGUAGACGGCUCACUGGACCAUAACUGACGCUGAGACACGAAAGCGUGGGUAGCAAACAGGAUUAGAUACCCUGGUAGUCCACGCCGUAAACGAUGGAUGCUAGCCGUUGGCAGGCUUGCCUGUCAGUGGCGCAGCUAACGCAUUAAGCAUCCCGCCUGGGGAGUACGGUCGCAAGAUUAAAACUCAAAGGAAUUGACGGGGGCCCGCACAAGCGGUGGAGCAUGUGGUUCAAUUCGAAGCAACGCGAAGAACCUUACCAGCCCUUGACAUGUCCCGUAUGAGAACCAGAGAUGGAUCUCUUCAGUUCGGCUGGCGGGAACACAGGUGCUGCAUGGCUGUCGUCAGCUCGUGUCGUGAGAUGUUGGGUUAAGUCCCGCAACGAGCGCAACCCUCGCCCUUAGUUGCCAUCAUUCAGUUGGGCACUCUAAGGGGACUGCCGGUGAUAAGCCGCGAGGAAGGUGGGGAUGACGUCAAGUCCUCAUGGCCCCUACGGGCUGGGCUACACACGUGCUACAAUGGCGGUGACAAUGGGAUGCGAAGGGGCAACCCGGAGCUAAUCUCAAAAAGCCGUCUCAGUUCGGAUUGCACUCUGCAACUCGAGUGCAUGAAGUCGGAAUCGCUAGUAAUCGUGGAUCAGCAUGCCACGGUGAAUACGUUCCCGGGCCUUGUACACAC
Molecule: ribosomal RNA, 1358 nt
Filed under: uncultured Pseudomonadota bacterium
Lineage: Bacteria; Pseudomonadati; Pseudomonadota
Description: bacterial SSU rRNA
Rfam family: Bacterial small subunit ribosomal RNA
Source: RNAcentral